This 253-nucleotide ribosomal RNA is filed under the name uncultured bacterium. RNAcentral's name for it is "partial 16S ribosomal RNA". It matches the Rfam family "Bacterial small subunit ribosomal RNA", at positions 524 to 776 of the family's 1533-position model. The record is from RNAcentral.
UACGUAGGGGGCAAGCGUUGUCCGGAUUUAUUGGGCGUAAAGAGCGUGUAGGCGGCCAGGUAGGUCCGUUGUGAAAACUCGAGGCUCAACCUCGAGACGUCGAUGGAAACCAUCUGGCUAGAGUCCGGAAGAGGAGAGUGGAACUCCGAGUGUAGAGGUGAAAUUCGUAGAUAUUCGGAAGAACACCAGUGGCGAAGGCGGCUCACUGGUCCGGUACUGACGCUGAGGUGCGAAAGCGUGGGGAGCAAACAGG